AGUUGCACAGACUUUCUUCCUUGUUGGAGUCCAUCCCAGAAAACUUCAGCUGCGUGUCAAGGAAAAAAACAGCACGAAACCAUUUACUAACAUCUGCAGGUCUCAACAAGACCCUCCCACACCUGUUUCUGGCAAACAAUAGCGGGUCAAAACAGUUACCUCAUCUAGCUCAGAGACUCGGCUGACAUAAUCCAAACCUCCUGUAAACAUUUCCACUGGCUUCGCCCGCACCGCUUGCUAACCUUGACGGGCGUCGGUAAACAUGGAGCUGUUUUAGUCAUUAACUAACACCGGCUGGAUUCAGCUCGAAGGGGCGGCCGGCCGGUUGGUUGGCCUAAGGCUUCAUCACUCAUUAACUCAGGCGGGGACAAUCAGACGACGCUCCUGUUGACAAAGUGUGACUCACUUGCUUUGUGCAACAAGAGGAGAGAGGCAGACUAAUCAGGAGAGGAUACGCUGACCUUCGAGUGGAUGCUUAUGAAAAGAUAGGCCGUGGUAAGACAAAUGCCAGACGUGUGGCUGUGGAUCAGGUUCACGGCCAGGUCUGCUGCAGCCGACAUGAUAACGGGAUUCAAGGAGCUGGAGGAAGACUGCUGACUUGACAGUUAACCAGCAGACAGUCAACAACACCCUUGAGAAGAAGGGAAAAGGCACUGCUAACAGAGUGUUCAAAGAGUGCUUUAUCUAAGCAUAUUCCUGGAAAGCUGAGUGGAAGGAAAAAGUGUGGUAGGGAAAGUUGCACAAGCAACAAGUUAAACAGCAGUCUUGAGAGGAUUGCAAAGCAAAGCCCAUUCAAGAGUUUGGGUGAAGGUUCACAAGGCGUGGACUGCAGUUGGAGUCACAGCUUCAAGAGCCACCAAUUAUACACAUGUUCAGGACAGAAGCUUCAAAUGCUGCAUCCCUUGUGUUAAGAUACUCCAGAACCAGGGACUACUUCAGAAGCACAGAAUCCAUGUCGCUUGAAGUCCAGGGUAAAGUUUCCAUAGUCAGUGAUGAUUUGCCUUUCAUCAAGUCCAAAGUCAACGCAGCCAUCCACCAGGAAGCUUCAGAACCCUCCAUGCUUCCUUCUGCAGACAAGCUUUAUAGCGAUGCUGAUUUUUAUCUUCCAGCAGGACUUGAUACCUGCCCACAUUGCCAAAGGCACCAGUACCUCAUUUAAUGACCAUGGUAUCACAGUGCUUAACUGGCCAAACUGGCCUGACCUAAACCUCAGGUAAUCCAUGUACUGUCCAGAAGAAGAUGAAACACUAGAGUCAGCAAUGGAGACGAGAUGAAAGCCACUAUUAAGGUAACCUGGACUUCCUGAACGCCCCAGCAGAACCACAGCCUGGUCGUCUACACGCCACGGCCCAUUGAUGCAGACAAUACAGAUGAAACUGGACAUUUUUACAUAAGCUGCAUGAAAAUAAAAAAUAUAUCACAGAUAAUAAAUCUAAUAAAACCUU
Long non-coding RNA from Girardinichthys multiradiatus, 1445 nucleotides. RefSeq lists it as uncharacterized. Lineage: Eukaryota; Metazoa; Chordata; Actinopteri; Cyprinodontiformes; Goodeidae. The record is from RefSeq and is a predicted model, not a curated record. The transcript has 2 exons.